UACGGAGGGUGCGAGUGUUAUUCGGAAUCACUGGGCGUAAAGAGAAUGUAGGCGGAUUGGCAAGUCAGAUGUGAAAUCCCGGGGCUCAACCCCGGAACUGCAUUUGAUACUGCCUGUCUUGAGUUUGGUAGAGGUGGAUGGAAUUCCCGGUGUAGAGGUGAAAUUCGUAGAUAUCGGGAGGAACACCAGAGGCGAAGGCGAUCCACUGGGCCAAUACUGACGCUGAGAUUCGAAAGCGUGGGGAGCAAACAGG
RNAcentral lists this ribosomal RNA (253 nucleotides) under uncultured bacterium. RNAcentral's name for it is "partial 16S ribosomal RNA". It matches the Rfam family "Bacterial small subunit ribosomal RNA", at positions 524 to 776 of the family's 1533-position model. The record is from RNAcentral.